GAUGAAGAACGUAGCGAAAUGCGAUAAGUAAUGUGAAUUGCAGAAUUCAGUGAAUCAUCGAAUCUUUGAACGCACAUUGCGCCCCCUGGUAUUCCGGGGGGCAUGCCUGUUCGAGCGUCAUUUCACCACUCAAGCCUCGCUUGGUAUUGGGCGACGCGGUCCGCCGCGCGCCUCAAAUCGACCGGCUGGGUCUUCCGUCCCCUCAGCGUUGUGGAAACUAUUCGCUAAAGGGUGCCGCGGGAGGUCACGCCGCAAAACAACCCCAUUUCUAAGGUUGACCUCGGAUCAGGUAGGGAUACCCGCUGAACUUAAGCAUAUCAAUAAGGGAGGA
This 331-nucleotide unclassified non-coding RNA is filed under the name soil metagenome. RNAcentral's name for it is "partial contains 5.8S ribosomal RNA, internal transcribed spacer 2, and large subunit ribosomal RNA". The stretch from base 1 to 120 matches the Rfam family "5.8S ribosomal RNA", at positions 35 to 154 of the family's 154-position model. The record is from RNAcentral.